This 865-nucleotide long non-coding RNA is filed under the name Salmo salar (Atlantic salmon). Its description in RNAcentral is "lncRNA (ENSSSAG00000105005.1)". Lineage: Eukaryota; Metazoa; Chordata; Actinopteri; Salmoniformes; Salmonidae. The record is from RNAcentral.
GUCCAAGUUGGCAAAAUAGUUAGUUAUAGUGGCCCAAGAAAAGUGUCCGAUAGACCUAUUCAGAUCGCAGCCGAAAAGACAGCUAACGAUUAGCGGGCCGCAGAUGGGCGAUCAGGUUACGUCGCGACGGAGGGGCCAGUUGGAUAACUCCCUCGGGCAGAUAACGUCGGUGGUCCAGUCGUGAAGACCCGAUGGGGCUCCGCAUCGGCAGUAAAACGGGUCAGGAUAGCCGGCUGACUAAGACUGACAUGGAGCUGGAGGUGCUGCGAUACACUAACCGGAUUUCCAGUGAAGCCCAUAAAGAGGGAGGAUGUUUUAUUCUGGAGCCCCUAUAUUCUGUCUCCAGCUGAGGGAUGAAGAUGUGCGCCCUGUCCCAAGGCCUCCCCAGUCUUAUCAAUCUGACUAGAGGAGGGCUGUGUAGACGUUUGAUCCUUGGUCCUGCUUGAUGAGAAGGCGGUGUGCAGAAAGAUGUUAAAGGCUCUGGGCUGGGGAAUACUGACACUGUAUUAACUUGAUGUAGUGUAUUAUAACAGGAUCCAGAUGUGACGUUGUCCCACUUCCACUUGGAGCUCUUGCACUAAGUCAAUAUGGAUGGAGCUAGGAGGAUUCAGUGACACGUUUGGCUGCAGUGUCCUUCACUGUUGUUUUCCCAUUCCACUGCUCGCUCUGAUGAUGUAAUUUGUCAUCAUAGAAGAAGCUACUACAGCUCAAUGAUAAGAGCACUGCCGCAUGUUAACAUAUUUUUUUUUAUAAUGUUAUAGUUUUCUUUGUAUAAUCUUCCCUGGUUUUUUAUCCUUUUGGACAUCUGAAGGCAGCCAAACUUUUUUGUGUAUAACUAAGCAAUAAACUUCCUUCCUUCACUGGC